GUCUCUACAAAGUAAUAAUAAUAUUAAUCUAAAGAUAAGAAACGAUUAAAGAAAUUGAUCUAAGAAUCAAAAAAUCGAAAGCACCAGAUCUCUAUACUUUCAAUAGCAUAGUAGCUCUACUAUAUAUAUAUAUUCGAGCUUUUCGAGCUUUUCGAGCCUAAUUCGAACGAGCCGAGUAAUACUCAAGCUCGACUUGAAAUGAAUUUCGAGCCUUUUUUUUUGUUCAAGCUCGGCUCAUUUAAUUUCGAGUCGAGCUCGAGCGAGCCAAAUAUCGAGUCGAACGCG
Molecule: long non-coding RNA, 285 nt
Filed under: Ananas comosus (pineapple)
Lineage: Eukaryota; Viridiplantae; Streptophyta; Magnoliopsida; Poales; Bromeliaceae
Description: long non-coding RNA (ACOM_LNC038220)
Source: RNAcentral